Molecule: long non-coding RNA, 8729 nt
Filed under: Nicotiana tabacum (common tobacco)
Lineage: Eukaryota; Viridiplantae; Streptophyta; Magnoliopsida; Solanales; Solanaceae
Description: long non-coding RNA (NTAB_LNC013579)
Source: RNAcentral
UAUAAGGAACCUUCUUAUAUGUCGUUCUCAAUUAAUUUCAGUAAGAGUUUUCUCUUCUUUUUUUGUCAAUUUGGUAUCUGUGUCGAUGAUCUGGGCAAAGACCUAAGUAGCUUCAUCUUGUCAUUAUUUUACUUUUCCUGUCUUCUGGCAGCAAUGUAUUUUCUGACAAUAAUUUGGGCUUUUCCUUCAACUUCUUUUCAAGGAAUACAUUCAUCAAAACUCUUUGUUGAUUUUUCUUUUUCCUGGUAUCAGAUUUUGGGUAUUGAACCCCUCCUAUUAUCAUUGAAUUUUCAGUAACUGUUCUGGAAAUGUCUUAUUCUCUUGUCUUUCUUUAUGGGUAUUAGGGCCUUGAUAUUAAGACUCUCUUAUAGACAUUGAAUUUCCCUUCAUUGUUUUGACAAAUUUUUCAGUUACCCUUCAGCCACCAAGUUACUCUGAGAGUUGCAUCAUUAUACUGCUUUUGAUGACUAAGAAUAGAUUUCUUUCUUUGCAUGCUGCGAGAAGUACUUUCUUUGUUGUGAAAUUGCUAAUGACAUCGUUUUGACCUACUAUUCCUAUGAUUGUUCCCUCACUUGUAACUCUUGCUGCGAUACGCACCUUGAAUUUCCAGUUUUGCUUUGCAAACUCAAGUUGUUUUCAUUACCAUGAGUUUGAUGAGGCGUAAUGAAAGUCAAGAGAAUUAAUGUUGUUAUAUGCUCCUCCCUCUGUCCCUAUUUAUGUGAAGGGAAUAGGAGUACAAGGGUCAAUGCACUUAGUUUUCUGUGUGGAUUGGAGCUAGAUUCUUCAAGUUUUUAAAAGUUAAAUUUACAUAUUUGAAAAUUGCAUAUAAAGUACUACAAGUUAACAUAGUUAAUGAUUCGAAAUAUUUAAUAAGUGUUCGAGAAAGUCGUAGUAAAAAAACUUUUUGACUCCCACCUUCACAUAAAAUAGAUUAGAGAGUGUAAAUAUACUUAGGCUAGUAGUCCGAGCUUUCCUAAUGAUUGUCUUACUUAGGAAAUUUGGAAAAAAGGGAAGUUUCCAUAGCUUAAAUUUUUGUUAUUUCAUAUAUUCUAUAUGUUUCCUUAUCUCAUGUAAUCUAACUUGCUAUAUAAGAAGCUCUGUCAUUUGUACAAUAAAAAUUUUCUUUCUUCUUUUUCUCAUCAUGUAUCACAAAGUAGAGAAAGAUGUUUCAAGUUGAUGCUUAAAGGGGGGAUUUGGUUAUUGGCCACUAUUCAGAUGCCUCUAAAGCUGAUAAUAUUGCACUUCUGGAGUUUUUUCUUUUCCUUUUUUUUUUGGUUGAAAGAAAGGUAAGGAAUAAUGCACUUCUGGAAUCUGGAGUUAUUAAACUAAUUCUUCACUCUAUCGGGUUUCUUGAGCCGAGGGUCUAUCGGAAAUGGCCUCUCUACUUUUUAGGUAGAGUUAAGGUCUAUGUACAUACUACCCUCCCCUGACCUCACUUGUGGGAUUAUACUGGUUUGUUGUUGUUGUUGUUGUUGUUAACUCGAUCGGAUUUCACAUUAGUUUUAACUAGGGAUAGUAGCUGGGAGAGUACCCUAAGGUCUAUAAUGCACCAACCUCCCUAAAGCUCAUAGCCAAUGCUGAACCUUAGCACAUGGAAUAUUUUUGCAGCCUAUCCUUGGUCCAAUUCAAAAUCAUGUUUUGCUCCUUUACGAGAAAAAGAAUAUAACUUAGGGGUGAAAAGGUGCACUUUUCAUAAUGGGUAACAUUUUCUUCACGAGUAUAAAUGCACUAAUGAGGUGUUACAUUUUCUUAAACAAAAUUGUUUUCAAAGAAGUCCAUAAAAUACAAAGAGCUUGCUUAUCCAUCUACAUUACUCUCUUCAGUGUCUGGUAUUAAAAGUCAUUGCUUCGUCGCGUAAAGCGAUGAAUCGAUACAAAGCGAGGGUUGUCGUUUAAUAGGUGAGGCUAUGUGCUUCAGCGAGGUGUGCGCUUUAAAUAGUAACUCACAAAGUGAUCCAAACACAUCUCAACAUUGAGGAGUUAGAUUAAUAUAUGGAUAUAAAAAAAAGGAGUUAGAUUUAUAACGGUAUUCUGGUAUAUUGGAUGCUGAAAUUAGUUGUUUUGAUUGCAAUUUGUUAUUAUAGUCCUAAAUUCAUAUAUGCUUUGUAUUUUUAAAUUUUUUGUAAUUGUGCGCUCUACUUCAAAGAAGCGUGCACUUCACUUCUUGCUUUUCACUUCAAGGCCUAUGGACCUUAUUGCUUCUUUGCGCUUUUCGCUUAAGUAGACGUCUUGGCUUCAUACCAAAAACUUGCAAUUGGAGGAAGCUUCUUCCCUGUGUUUGACACACUUAUAAGAAGCUUUUCCAUGUCAGUGUGCUUCAUUACAUUGUCAUUCCUGUGUAUGAUACAUUUAAUUUUAUUAAUAAUUCAGUGUUUAAAAACUAUUGUUUUUGUGGAUCCUAAGUUAUAAGCAAUUCAGUUUUACAAUUAUGAUCUUUUAUUUUUUCCUUUUGUGUCAGAAAGCUAUGAACUCAACUUUGAGCCCUCGGUUUAAUCAACAAAUCUUCUUUUCGUCUAACAAUGCCUGAAAAAUCUUGCCAAGUAGACACAGUCAAAGAGAUAUCUACUCUGAGGCAGUUGAAUUUUCUGAAAUCUGUUGCUCUUUCUGUUGUGUCAAACUAUCAGAUUCUCCCUCCACAAAAGCUUGUCAAAAUGGUUUGAUGCUGGGCAAAUUUUUGUGUUAUUUUAAGUAUUUCUCCAUCCCCAACUAGUACGGGAGUGAGGAUGGGUAGUUUUUAUUGGAUGUAAUCCAUGUUGCAUAGUUUGACUAAAAUAAACUGUGGAGGCUACAUAUUGAUUUACCUCUCCAAGGUGCCUUCUACACAUGGUCUAGGGGAGAAGACAUUUAUCAGGCAUCUAGAAUAGAUAGAUUUCUUAUAUCCCAGAGUGGAAUGAAUGCUUUAAGGAUGUGAAACAGAUUGCCCUUCCAAGAGUUUUUUCUGAUCAUAAACCUUUACUUCUGGAGAGUGGGGACUCGGAGGUGAAUCCAUCUUACUUCAAAUUUGAGAACAUGUGGUUAAAAGUAGAUGGAUUCAUAGAGAAUAUUGAAGAGUGGUGGAAUAGCUAUAUCAUACAUGGGAGUCCUUGAUGCGCUCCAACAACGAUGACUAUGCCACCACACAAGCAAAAACCCGGCUAGGUUCCGAAACAUCCAACCUCACGAACUUCUUGGCCAAACUAUGCAAGGUUGAGAGUAUUCUAAUUCAGAAAUUGAGACUAUUGAAGAAAGACAUCUCCUGCUGGAAUAAGGAAGUCUUUGGCAAGGUUGAGUCAAGAAAGAGCAAAGUUUUAGAUGAACUUUUAGUGUUGGAACAAGUCACGGAGAAUAGGGUUCAAACUGUAGAGGAAAAAAGCAAAAUGUUUGCUUUUAAAUUAGAAUUGGAGCAGAUAGCAAAAGCUGAGUAGAUUUCAUGGAGACAGAAGUCCAAGUGCCUAUGGCUCAAAGGAGAUAGGAACACCAAAUACUUUCAACGAAUUGCGACCUCCCAUAGAAGAAAUAAUUGCAUUGACAGACUUAUGGUUGAUUAUGAGAUUAUUUAAGAUAAGGAGUAGAUAAAAGGGGAAAUUCUGGAUUUUUACCAACAAUUAUACAAUGAGUCUGAACAGUGGAGACCUACAGCUAGUCUUGAUGAUCUAGAAAGAAUAUCAGAAGAAGACAAAGCAUGGUUAGAAAUUCCUUUUGAGGAGGAGGAGGAGGUCCUUUCUACUAUUAAAGCAUGCUUUCCAGAUAAGGCUCCAUCCAGAAAGCAUGGUUGAUCAUUAAGGAAGAGGUGAUGGCUGCCCUGAAUUUCUUUCAUCAUAACUGUCACAUGAUGAAGUCUUGCAAUGCCUCUUUUAUAGCCUUAGUUCCCAAAAAGAAGGGAGCCAUUGAACUCAAGGACUAUAGACCAAUCAGUCUGAUUGGUAGUGUUUACAAAAUAGCAGCCAAACUACUUGCAGAAAGGCUCAAGAAAGUGGUUGGUGGUCUGGUUUCUGGACAUUAGAAUGCCUUUAUAAAAGGCAAACAAAUCACUGAUGCAGCCCUCAUUACAAAUGAGAUAUUAGACUGGCAAUUGAAGAAUGGAAAUCCUGGUAUUUUAUGCAAGCUAGAUGUGGAAAAGGCCUUUGAUAAGGUGAAUUGGGCAUAUCUUCUAACUGUGCUUAGGAAGAUGGGCUUUGGUGACAGGUGGAUUAAAUGGAUGAAGUUUUACAUUACCACAGUUAAAUUCUCCGUACUUGUCAACAGAGGGCCAGUGGGAUUCUUUUCCCCUCAGAAGAGACUUAGACAGGGGGACCCUCUCUCUCCUUUCCUUUUUAUUCUGGCCAUGGAAGGCCUUAGCAAGAUGUUUGACAAAGCGAAGCAACUCCAAUGGAUUAGUGGCUUUCAAGUGGGGCACAACUCUGGACCAUCUCUCUUAGUAUCUCAUUUGCUUUAUGCAGAUGAUACUCUGAUCUUUUGUGGGGCUGAAAGAUCCCAAGUCCUAUACCUUAAUCUAACUUUGUAUUUGCUUGAAGCUAUUUUAGGCUUGCACAUUAACAUGGCAAAAAGCACUAUCUACCCUGUAAAUGAAGUCAACAAUCUGGAGGAUUCAAACAAAAUUGUAACCGUGCCAAAGUAUCAGGAACCUAGGAAAUUGUGAUGCAGCUUUCCCAACAAAAUUGUAAAGCAGCUUGACAAGAUCAGGGGAACGUUUCUAUGGGAGGGAGGCAGCAAAGCUUUUCAUCUAGCCAAGUGGUCAAAGGUCACCGUGCCAAAGUAUUUGGUGGCCUAGACAUCAGAGAUCUUUCCAUCCACAACAAAUGCAUGCUGAUGAAAUGGCUAUGGAGAUACAAUCAAGAGGAGAAUUCACUAUGGAAAGAGGUGGUCAGGGCCAAGCAUGGGUCCGAGAAUCAUUGGUGUACUAAGCUGUCCAGAAGCCCAUAUGGGGUCGGUCCAUGGAAGAACAUUAGGAAGCUCUGGAGUGAAUUUUCCCGGAACUCCUAUUUUAAAUUGGGCAAUGGCAAUCACAUAAAGUUCUGGAAAGAUAAAUGGUUUGAAGGAUCCAUCCUGAUGUUUGACUUUCCUAGCCUCUAUCAGAUAGCUCAGAAUCAAGAUUCCACUAUUUCUCGCAAUUGGCAAGACAAUUGUUGGCACAUUCUUUUCAGGAGGGAUAUGCAGGACUGGGAGCUUCCACAACUUCUAAAUCUGCUGGCAAAAUUGGAAGGCUUCUCAGACAAGGAAAAUACUUUUGACAGUAUAAGGUGGGGAAGUUCCAAGGAUGAUCUUUACACUGUGAAAGCAGGCUACACUCACUUUUGCUCCACCAAUGAAAUCAUUGAUAGAUGGUCUUGGAAAUACAUCUAGAAGACCAAGCUACCUACAAAAAUCUCCUGUUUUAGUUGGAUAGCCCUAAAUGAAGCAUGCCUAACCCAGGACAAUAUCAUCAGAAUAAGUCAAUUGGCCAACAGAUGUUAUAUGUGUUUGCAGCAGCCAGAAUCCAACAUGCAUCUCUUUCUUCACUGCCCAGUUGCAGCAGAUAUCUGGUGUAUGUUCUUUGCCAUCUUUUAUUUAAGCUGGGUCAUGCCUUAGAACAUUAAGGAUGCCUAUGAAAGCUGGUCUUCAUGGAAAGUUGAUAACUCCAUCAGUAAAGUUUGGCAGAUGAUCCCUUCUUGUGUUUUGUGGUGUGUUUGGACAGAAAUGAAUCACAAAUGUUUUGAUGGGGAUAUCAACUCCUACAUAUGCACUUAAGGCUAGAUGUCUUUUAUGGUUAUAUAGUUGGCAGAACUUAGCUCCUGUCAAUUGUCCUAUUAAUCUUUUGGACUUCGUAAGCUCCUUAGCUUUAGCCUAGUUUUUGUCUGCAAAGCUGACUGUGUCUUUAUGUAUCUCUCUUUUGUACUUCUUGCAUCUUCUUGAAGCCUUUAAUGCAGUUCUCUUACUUCAUCAAAAAAAAUAUGUGGAGGCUACACCAGCUUUAGGAUUAUUGCAACUAUCUUUUAGGACAUAAUUGCCCCUUACUAGAAUUGCUUAGUUGCAUAUGAAUUCUUAGUAGGAAUGUCGGCUGUAAUGCCAAACCCAAUUGAUGGAUCUAAAGUGUCCCAUGUUUAUUUAGGAAAAAAAGAGAGGAAUACACUAGCCAAGUUAUACAAGUCAACAAACUUCUACAAGAUUUGCCUUUUGAGGGUAGUUUGCAAUGGUUAUGGCAUGAGAUUUUUAUUCCAAAAAGGACAUUUGAUUAGGAAAAAGAAAGAGGAAUACACUAGCCAAGUUAUACAAGUCAACAAACUUCUACAAGAUUUUCCUUUCGAGGGUAGUUUGCGAUGGUUAUGACAUGAGAUUUUUAUGCCAAAAAAAGGACAUUUUAUUUCUUUCCACAACAACCUAAACUUAUGCUUCUAAAAAUUUGUUGAACCAGAUCCUUGUGCAUGCGAUCUUCCCAGAUUAACCAAAUUAUAGCCUGUUUGGCCAAGCUUCUUCAAACCUAGAAGCACUUUUUUUCUUCUUUUUUUUUCAAAGUUGAAGUGUUUGGCCAAGAUUUUUAGAGAAAAAAAGUACUUUUGAGGAGAAGCAGAAUUAGUUUCGGAUAAACAGAAAAAAACAGCUUCUCCCCAAAAGCACUUUCUUGAAAAGCACUUUUGAGAAAAAUGCACUUAGAAGCACUUUUUAAAUGCUUGACCAAACACUAAUUGCUGCCCAGAAGUGCUUUUCAAAUUAAUUAGCCAAACACAAACUGCUUCUCGCCAAAAGUACUUUUUCAAACAUGCUAUUAUUCUGUUGCAUAACAAGGAAUGUGAAUAAAGUUCUUUUCUUUGAGGAGCUAUGUGAUUUGGGAGUUUGUGCAUUAACUUUGUAGUCUGAUAGGGUGAAUAAGAUGAGAUCAAUUCAGGUUUGCUUCUUGGCAGUGGCUUCUAUAGGUAAGAAAAGUUCAUUAUCCUUGUUAAUGUCGUCUUUGUCCUUCUCCUUCAUCCCUCAGAAAAUAGCAGCAUUGUCCCUUGACUCAAUUCCGCCUAGCUUACCAUCAUGAACAACUUUUCUGAUUUAUUUGUUAAAUGAGGUCAUUAACAUUGGAUUUAAAGAUUGAAUUGUCUGUGACUAAACUGCUGACACUUCUGCCUUUUACUCCUGAAGAGUCUAAGAAGGAUCAUUCUGCCUUUAUUGAGGACUGGUUUGGAGAGUGGUGUGGUGGUUAUCAGUCCUGUCACAUCCUUCCAAAUUUUGGAUUAUUCCACACUACUAUAGUUUGCUUGAGUUGGUUUCUGAUGUACUUGUAAUGUCUUUACUCCUCUCAAUCUCUUUCUUGAGCAUCUUUAUUGCAUGGAUCAUUUAGGUCAAAGUUAAAAAAAUUGCUAAUGAGUGAUGACACAUAUGAAUCGAGCAUACCGGGAGACAUUGUUUAGCUCCUGCUGCCCAAACAGAAGUGACACUCCGGGGAUGUUUUAAUUAUUUUUUCAAUUUCUCUUUUCAAAAUUAUAUUACAAUUUACAACCAAGUUUAGGGCUUGGCUGAGAUGAUGAAUCGCCCUUACCGCUUCUAGGCCUGUAUUACGUUUGAGACAUAUAGCUUUCUGUAUGGCUGCAUACUGCAGCAGCUGUAAGAGGGUGGUCUUAUAAGGCAAGUAAUGCUGGAAACUAAUUCUUUUUCUUAUAAUUAUGAUGAUGACAUUAGUUGAACUUAAAUGGAGAAACAUGGUUAGUGAGGAUUCAUAGCCUACCCCGACUUGUUUGGGGCUGAGACAUAGUUGUUUUUGUUGUUUUGUCCUCCAUUUGGCCCUUCUGCUAAUUAUGCAGAUAGGUUGCACACUUUCGACGUUUCCUUUCCCAAAGAUAUCCAUACUGGUGUUUCAUAUCCAUACUGCUUUUUACUGCCUAAAGAUAUAAAGGAAAGACAGAAAAUCAAAGAGAAUAUUGUUUGUUAGUAGUAUUAUGCAUUGUUUAUAGCAUAUGAUCAUUUGAAGGGUUUUGAACCUUUUAGGUUUUUGCCUAAGCUACCAUCUAAUGACAUCAUGUUUUAGGAAGGAAUUUUAUGGGCUAGUUGAGACUCUGAAAAAUCAAAUAUGGAGACUUUGUUGGGUUCUGUUUGCUUGUAUUUGUUUUGAUCUUUUAAGUGAUUUUUUUUGGAGCUGAAAUGCAUGCCCGAGAUAUCUAAAACAGUGAUGCACUCUAUUUUUUUUUAUUAUAUGAUUUCUGUUGACUAAAUUAUUUGACCUUUAUAUUUCAUUUUGCAGGUACUGUAUAAUUGUUACUAAUUAGGAACAUCCGAGAGAAUAAUUUCGACAUAUAUCUGGAGAAUUGUAAAUCUGUGAUGGAUAACCAUGCUUGAGCUCAAUAAUCAAAAUAGAUAGUGUCAAAACCCUCAUUUUGUUAUAGCACUAUUAUGUGUUGCUUGUCAAAUUUGUACUUUGUUGUGAUACAUCUACAAGCAUUAAUAACAUUCACAAAUUUUGGUUGAACUAUGAUUUGCUUUACUCUUCCUAGAUAAGUUGGUGUGCUAUUUAACUAUAGUGGUGAUUACUUAGCUUGACGACGUUGUUGGGUUGAAAGUGAGGGUUCUCAAAUUGCAAAAACUCUUGAAUAGCCAUUUUGUCAAAAUACUACGUGGCCUUCUGACCACAACCCUACAACUUUAGCUUUCUAUUAUGUUACAGUGGCCUAUUCUGGCAAGUGUAUGAGGAAUUCGCAUUACGUCCUGGGUUUUGUAUGUGUUUAUUUGUACUUGCAAGAGAAGUUCAGUACGAAGUUUGGUGUCUCGAAGACAUUCCAUGGAAUGGUAUGAAAC